This 993-nucleotide ribosomal RNA is filed under the name Bartalinia sp. Its description in RNAcentral is "partial large subunit ribosomal RNA". It matches the Rfam family "Eukaryotic large subunit ribosomal RNA", at positions 37 to 1056 of the family's 3401-position model. Lineage: Eukaryota; Fungi; Ascomycota; Sordariomycetes; Amphisphaeriales; Sporocadaceae. The record is from RNAcentral.
AGCAUAUCAAUAAGCGGAGGAAAAGAAACCAACAGGGAUUGCCUUAGUAACGGCGAGUGAAGCGGCAAUAGCUCAAAUUUGAAAUCUGGCGCUUGCGUCCGAGUUGUAAUUUGUAGAGGAUGAUUUUGGUUAGGUACCUUUCGAGUUCCUUGGAACAGGACGCCUUAGAGGGUGAGAGCCCCGUACGAUUGGAUGCCGAGCCUCUGUAAAUCUCCUUCGACGAGUCGAGUAGUUUGGGAAUGCUGCUCUAAAUGGGAGGUAAAUUUCUUCUAAAGCUAAAUACCGGCCAGAGACCGAUAGCGCACAAGUAGAGUGAUCGAAAGAUGAAAAGCACUUUGAAAAGAGGGUUAAAUAGCACGUGAAAUUGUUGAAAGGGAAGGAUUUAUGACCAGACUUUUUCUAGGAGAAUCAUCCGGUGUUCUCACCGGUGCACUUCUUUUAGUUUAGGCCAGCAUCGACUUUCGGCGGUGGAUAAAAGCUUUAGGAAUGUGGCUUCUCUCGGGAAGUGUUAUAGCCUAUUGUAUAAUACACUGCUGGGGGUCGAGGUACGCGCUUCUGCAAGGAUGCUGGCGUAAUGGUUAUCAAUCACCCGUCUUGAAACACGGACCAAGGAGUCGAACAUUUGUGCGAGUGUUUGGGUGUUAAACCCUCACGCGUAAUGAAAGUGAACGGAGGUGAGAGCCCUUACGGGUGCAUCAUCGACCGAUCCUGAUGUUUUCGGAUGGAUUUGAGUAAGAGCAUAAAUGUUCGGACCCGAAAGAUGGUGAACUAUGCGUGGAUAGGGUGAAGCCAGAGGAAACUCUGGUGGAGGCUCGCAGCGGUUCUGACGUGCAAAUCGAUCGUCAAAUCUGCGCAUGGGGGCGAAAGACUAAUCGAACCAUCUAGUAGCUGGUUACCGCCGAAGUUUCCCUCAGGAUAGCAGUGUUGUCUUCAGUUUUAUGAGGUAAAGCGAAUGAUUAGGGACUCGGGGGCGCUAUAUUGCCUUCAUCCAUU